This 1177-nucleotide long non-coding RNA is filed under the name Carica papaya (papaya). RNAcentral's name for it is "long non-coding RNA (CPAP_LNC005439)". Lineage: Eukaryota; Viridiplantae; Streptophyta; Magnoliopsida; Brassicales; Caricaceae. The record is from RNAcentral.
GAUCAUAUGGUUGAAUGUUUAUGUAUAACACUAGUGCUUCAACAGUUUUCAGCAUGUCUUUUAUAUUGUAGCUUGAACUUAAAAGACUAGGAUUAAUAAUUGUUUGGAGGUUCGAGGGGUUUGUUUGGACAUUUUCUGAAUCAUCUGAAGAUCCAUCUCGAUGCCAAAUGGGGCACCAAUGUCCGAUAGAGCAUACAUAAAAAAAUAUAUACAUAGCAGCAGAACUAUUCAUCCCAAUACAACAUACAAAAACUAUACUUUGAGACAUGAGAUCAUCUAUGCUUAUAUACAUAUCAAAAACGAUAACCUAUACAAAAUAUACUUGCCUAAAAAGUGUUUUAACCAAAUAUAUAGGUCCACUCCCACAACUAAACUUCCUUAAAGAGAACUAGGCAAAUGUCCUCAACAAUUCAUCAAAAUCUUCAUCUGUAAGGUGUUGGAAUUGGGUGAGCUCUAAUACUCAAUAAGAUAGGCAAUAUUAUAGGCAUACAAACAUGAUUUGAAAAUAUUUCCUUAAUGCAUAUUUAAAGAAAACAGUGAUAAAAGCAAUAAUCGAGAAACAAUGAUAACAUACUACUCAAUUGGCAUAUUCAAUGUGUUCACAUAAUUCAUUCACAUACAUCCAAGACUAGACCCAUCUAAUGACUCAGUUUUAAUACCAAAUUAUUAUUUUAAUUUUAAUUUUACUGUUUACAAAUCUACGCAUGCAGCCUCUUACACUACUUCUGUGGAGGGCACAGGUCACCAACUAGGUAAGGUUGGAAGCGCAAUCAAUUAGUAAAAAUAAAAAUGUAAAUAAAUACAUACAAAUCACUUACUCUCUACCUUACGUCAAUCAGUUAUCAUCUCAGUCACCAUCAACCACAUAUUAGAGCUCCAAGACAUGUAUGCAAUCAAUUCAUGGUCAUUGACCACUAAAAUUGGUUCCAUAAAUGGAACCCAAUAUCACACCUAAAGUCUAAUGGUUUUCCUAUUAUCCUCAAUAUCCCUCCAAGAAAACCAAUGCAUCAGAUUUAACUAAACAUUGUGUUAUUUGUAUUUUAGACUCUUAUUAAUUUCUUCCUCAAUUUAAUAUAUUAUUUCAUCCUAUCUAUUUUAGUGACAUGUAAAAUUAUGAUUAUUAUUUAAUUACUUGAGUUAUUAUUUAGUUUAUUUGUUAGACUUUUACUAGUUCAUC